This 330-nucleotide long non-coding RNA is filed under the name Dromaius novaehollandiae (emu). RNAcentral describes it as "lncRNA (ENSDNVG00000003801.1)". The record is from RNAcentral. Lineage: Eukaryota; Metazoa; Chordata; Aves; Casuariiformes; Dromaiidae.
AAUAUUUUAAGCAUGAUUUUUUUUUUCCACACAGAGUCACAAGUAACAAGGACUUAGCAGGAAAGAAAAGAAAGGAAGUGCAGGUGGAUAAGAAGAAAAUUCCCAGGGUUUACRGCCACGUGGCUGUUACUGGGUGAGCACAGACAGACCACUGCAGACUAUCCAGAUGGGACAUGGGCAUAGGCCAGCAGCUCUCUGCCAAGACUUUACAAGAAAGACAGAAAGGGYUGGCAGAGCUUCGGAGCACGGCUACUCUCAGAAAUGACACGCCGUCAUGUCGAAAGCCCUGCAAGUGCUCUUUGCCUCAAGAGUGAGUAUAACCAUUCGUCA